GGUUUCUCCUCUUCAAGUGCUGGUUUCUCUUCAAAUGAUAGUUCAUUAGGUGUUUCUUCCCGUGUUGGUUCUUCAUGUGCUUCUUCAGUUACUGGUUUUUCAGGUUUCUCCUCAAUUGUUGGUUCUUCGCUUGUCUUCUCAACUGAUGGUUCCUCAUGCUUCUCUCCCGUUGUUGAUUUUUCGGGUUUCUCUUCAGUUGUCGAUGGUUCAGUUUUUUUCUCAACCGCUGGUUCUUUUGGCUUCUCCAAAACCAUUUCCGAUUUCUCUUCAGUUGGUGGUUCUUCAUGGUUUUUUUCAACUACUGGUUCUUCUCUUUUUUCCUCAACUGAUGCAUAGUCAGCAAUAUCGUUGUUGGUAUUGCUUGGAAUUGCAUUGUCUGUCUUGUCCUUUGAGCUUACAAUUGGCAUAUUCUGCUAGAAAAAUAUAAAGUUUCAUGUAGUCUUUCAACAGAGAAACCAAUGUAAAUUUGUUGCACAUAUAAAGCUAACAAAUAUGAUGGAUAGACUUUGCGAGAGUGUUUAAUACUCACCUUCUCCGGAAGAGCUUCCGUUUCAGGUUCCUCUUCAAUUUCUGCUUUUUCAUCUUUCUCUUCAACAACUAGUUCUUCAGGUGUCUCUUCAACCGUUGAUUCUUCAGGUUUCUCUUCAAGUGUUAGUUCUUGAGGUGUUUCCUCCUUUGCUAGCUCUUCAGGUGUUUCUGUAACUGCCGGUUCUUCAGGUUCCUCUUCAGCCACCGGCUGUUGACGUAUCUCCUCUACUUGUACUUCAGAUUUCUCCUCAAUUGUUGGUUCUUCAGGUUUCUCCUUAACCGCUGGUACAUCAGGUUUAUCCUCAUUGACUGGUUCUUCAACUGCUGAUUCUUCUAGAUUUUCCUCAAUGUCUGGAAAGCGAGCAACAUCAUUAUUGGUAUUGCAUGGAAUUUCAUUUCCAGUUUCGUUAUUCGAGUCUACAAUUAGCAUAUUCUGCAAAAAGAAUUUAAUGUUUCAUUUAGCCUUUCAAUAAAGAAGCAUAUGCGAAUAACAGUACAUGCAUAACUAACAAAAUGGAUAAACUUUGUGAUAGUGCUUGAUCCUUACCUUUGCCAAAAGAGUUACCUUUUCAGGUUUCUCCUCUUCAACGGUUGGUUCUUCAUGUUUCUUUUCAAAUGCUAGUUCCUUGGUUGUUUCUUCCGGUGUUGGUUCCAUAGGUGUUUCUUCAGUUACUUGUUUUUCGGGUUUCUCUUCAAUUAUUGGUUCUUCGAUUGUCUUCUCAACUGAUGGUUCUUCAAGAUUUUCUCCCACUGUUGGUUUUUGGGGUUUCUCUUCUAUUGUUGGUUGUUCAGGAAUUUUCUCAACUGGUGGUUCUGCUGGAUAUUCCAAAACCAUUGAUUCUUCAGAUUUCUCUUCAAUUGAUGGUUCUUCAUGGGUUUUUUCAACUACUGGUUCUUCAAUUUUUUCCUCAACAGAUGCAUAGUCAACAAUAUCAUUAUUGGUAUUGCUUGGAAUUGCAUCGUCUGUCAUGUCCUUUGAGUUUACUUUUGGCAUAUUCUGCAAUAGAGUUUCAUGUAAUCUUUCAACAGAUAAACAGAUGUAAAUUUGUUGCACAUAUAAAGCUAAUAUGGUGGAUAAACUUUGUGACAGUGUUUAAUCCUCACCUUCUCCUGAAGAUCUUCCGCUUCAAGUUCCUCCUCUACAAUUGCAGUUUUUUCCUCUUCCCCUUCAACAACUAGUUCUUCAGGUGCCUCUUCAGCCGUUGAUUCUUCAGGUUUCUCUUCAAGUGCUAGUUCUUCAGGUGUUUCCUCCUUUGCCAGCUCUUCAGGUGUUUCUUUAGAUGCCGAUUCUUCAGGUUUCUCUUCAGCCAUCGGUUCUUGAGGUAUUUCCUCUACUUGUACUUCAUAUUUCUCCUCAAUUGUUUGUUCUUCAGGUUUCUCUUCAGGUUUCUCCUUAACCACUGGUACAUCAGGUUUCUCUUGAUUAACUGGUUCUUUGGGUUUUUCUUCAACAGCCGAAUCUUCAGGAUUUUCCUCAAUGUCUUGAAAGCAAGCAAUAUCUUUAGUGGUAUUGCAUGGAAUUUCACUGCCAGUUUUGUUGUUCGAGUCUACAAUUAGCAUAUUCUGCAAAAGGAAUUUGAUGUUUCAUUUAGCCUUUUAAUAAAGAAGCAGAUGUGAAUAACAUUACAUGCAUAACUUACAAAAUGGAUAAAUUUUGUGACAGUCCUUGACCCUUACCUUUUCAGGUUUCUCCUCUUCAACAGCUGAUUCUUCAUGUUUCUCUUCAAAUGCUAGUUCUCUGGGUGUUUCUUCCCGUAGUGCUUCUUCAUGUGCUUCUUCAGUUACUGGUUUUUCAGGUUUCUCCUCAAUUGUUGGUUCUUUGAUUGUCUCCUCAACAGAUGGUUCUUCAAGCUUCUCUCCCGUUGUUGAUUUUUCUGGUUUCUCUUCAAUUGCUGGUUGUUCAGGAAUUUUCUCAACAGCUGGUUCUUCUGGCUUCUCUAAAACCAUUGAUUCUUCAGCUUUCUCUUCAAUUGAUGGUUCUUCAUGGUUUUUUUCAACUAUUGGUUCUUCAGUUUUUUCCUCAACGGAUGCAUAGUCAACAAUAUCAUUGUUGGUAUUGCUUGGAAUUGCAUCGUCUGUCAUGUCCUUUGAGUUUACUUUUGGCAUAUUCUACAAUAAAGUUUCAUGUAGUCUUUCAAUAGAUAAACAGAUGUAAAUUUGUUGCAACAUAUAAAGCUAAUAUGGUGGAUAAACUUUGUGACAGUGUUUAAUCCUCACCUUCUCCCGAAGAUCUUCCGCUUUAAGUUCCUCCUCUUCAAUUGCUGUUUUUUCAUCUUUCGUUUCAACAACUAGUUCUUCAGGUGCCUCUUCAGCCGUUGAUUCUUCAGGUUUUUCUUCAAGUGCCAGCUCUUCAGGUGUUUCCUCCUUUGCCAUCUCUUCAGGUGUUUCCUCCUUUGCCAGCUCUUCAGGUGUUUCUUUAGCUGCUGGUUCUUCAGGUUUCUCUUCAGCCGCCAGUUCUUGAGGUAUCUCCUUUUCUACUUCAGAUUUCUCCUCAACUGUUGGUUCUUCAGGUUUCUCUUCAUUAACUGGUUCUUUGGGUUUUUCUUCAACAGCCGAAUCUUCAGGAUUUUCCUCAAUGUCUGGAAAGUGAGCAACAUCUUUAUUGGUAUUGCAUGCAAUUUCACUGUCAGUUUUGUCGUUCAAGUCUACAAUUAGCAUAUUCUGCAAAAAGAAUUUGAUGUUUCAUUUAGCCUAUUAAUAAAGAAGCAGAUGUGAAUAACAUUACAUGCAUAACUUACAAAAUGGAUAAACUUUGUGAUGGUCCUUGACCCUUACCUUUCCAGGCUUCUCCUCUUCAACGGCCAGUUCUUGUUUCUCUUCAAAUGCUAGUUCCCUGGGUGUUUCUUCCUGUAUUGGUUCUUCAUGUGCUUCUUCAGGUACUGGUUUUUCAGGUUUCUCCUCAAUUGUUGGUUCUUCGAUUGUCUCCUCAACAGAUGGUUCUUCAAGGUUCUCUCCCGUUGUUGAGUCUUCUGGUUUCUCUUCAAUUGCUGGUUGUUCAGAAAUUUUCUCAACAGCUGGUUCUUCUGGCUUCUCCAA
This 3564-nucleotide long non-coding RNA is filed under the name Capsicum annuum. RNAcentral's name for it is "long non-coding RNA (CANN_LNC003850)". Lineage: Eukaryota; Viridiplantae; Streptophyta; Magnoliopsida; Solanales; Solanaceae. The record is from RNAcentral.